GCUCCUUAGGUAAUGUAGGAGAGAAGCUGCUACAAAUAAAUACAAAUUUGAGCCAGCUGUGUUGGUAAAAGAGACCAUUUCCCCUGCACCUCGUAACCUCUUCCAUCCUCAGGUGUGGCAUUUCCUUCUAGCCUCUUCCAUCUGCAGGUGUGGGAUCUCCCAGGGCUGUCUUUCUGCAAAAAGGCUUGGCUUCCUCACCAUUUCCUCCCAGCGGCAUGGCCAGCAGACGGCAUUGCCAGGCAAAAGGAAAGUGGGAGACCCCUUUCCUUGUGCAAGUGAGGAAAUGGAGAUGUGCUACACGUACACACAGGGCUGGAGGUGCUGCUUCUGCCAGUGUCCUGCUCAUGCUCUGACACAGAGCUGCCAGACAGCCAGAGCCUCCUGCAGCUUUCGCAACUAAAAAGAAACCACUGACUGUUGCUAGUAGGAAUCCAGCAUUCUUGACAGCACAGAAUAACUUGCUUGCUCUGUGUGGAGAGCCAUUAAAAAAAAAAAAAAAAA
Molecule: long non-coding RNA, 501 nt
Organism: Cyanistes caeruleus (blue tit)
Lineage: Eukaryota; Metazoa; Chordata; Aves; Passeriformes; Paridae
Source: RefSeq, a predicted model, not a curated record